RNAcentral lists this long non-coding RNA (216 nucleotides) under Elaeis guineensis (African oil palm). Its description in RNAcentral is "long non-coding RNA (EGUI_LNC009946)". Lineage: Eukaryota; Viridiplantae; Streptophyta; Magnoliopsida; Arecales; Arecaceae. The record is from RNAcentral.
AGGUAUGGAGACACUGGGGUGAGAUUGCAGAUGGUUGUUAAAGAACAACUUGUACCGAACGUGACCAACAUGAGAAACUAUUUGGAUAUCUACUCACUCGUCAGUGAUUUUCUCGAUACUGUAGUGAUAUAUCUGAUCUUUUGACCGCGGUGCAUUGGCUAUUCAUAGCAAGACUAUUUAAUUUGACUGCAUAUUUCUUUGGUCCCUAGUCAUUCG